Molecule: ribosomal RNA, 665 nt
Filed under: Staphylococcus aureus
Lineage: Bacteria; Bacillati; Bacillota; Bacilli; Caryophanales; Staphylococcaceae
Description: partial 23S ribosomal RNA
Rfam family: Bacterial large subunit ribosomal RNA
Source: RNAcentral
GUUGAUUUCACACUGCCGAGAAAAGCCUCUAGAUAGAAAAUAGGUGCCCGUACCGCAAACCGACACAGGAAGUCAAGAUGAGAAUUCUAAGGUGAGCGAGCGAACUCUCGUUAAGGAACUCGGCAAAAUGACCCCGUAACUUCGGGAGAAGGGGUGCUCUUUAGGGUUAACGCCCAGAAGAGCCGCAGUGAAUAGGCCCAAGCGACUGUUUAUCAAAAACACAGGUCUCUGCUAAACCGUAAGGUGAUGUAUAGGGGCUGACGCCUGCCCGGUGCUGGAAGGUUAAGAGGAGUGGUUAGCUUCUGCGAAGCUACGAAUCGAAGCCCCAGUAAACGGCGGCCGUAACUAUAACGGUCCUAAGGUAGCGAAAUUCCUUGUCGGGUAAGUUCCGACCCGCACGAAAGGCGUAACGAUUUGGGCACUGUCUCAACGAGAGACUCGGUGAAAUCAUAGUACCUGUGAAGAUGCAGGUUACCCGCGACAGGACGGAAAGACCCCGUGGAGCUUUACUGUAGCCUGAUAUUGAAAUUCGGCACAGCUUGUACAGGAUAGGUAGGAGCCUUUGAAACGUGAGCGCUAGCUUACGUGGAGGCGCUGGUGGGAUACUACCCUAGCUGUGUUGGCUUUCUAACCCGCACCACUUAUCGUGGUGGGAGACAGUGUCA